GUGUCAGCCGCCGCGGUAAUACGGAGGGUGCAAGCGUUAUCCGGAUUUACUGGGUUUAAAGGGUGCGUAGGUGGGUUGGGAAGUCAGUGGUGAAAUACUUUCGCUUAACGAAGGAACUGCCAUUGAUACUAUCAAUCUUGAAUGUAGUGGAGGUAGGCGGAAUGCGUCAUGUAGCGGUGAAAUGCUUAGAUAUGACGCAGAACACCAAUUGCGAAGGCAGCUUGCUACACUACUAUUGACACUGAGGCACGAAAGCGUGGGGAUCAAACAGGAUUAGAAACCCUUGUAGUCC
This 292-nucleotide ribosomal RNA is filed under the name uncultured bacterium. RNAcentral describes it as "partial 16S ribosomal RNA". It matches the Rfam family "Bacterial small subunit ribosomal RNA", at positions 505 to 796 of the family's 1533-position model. The record is from RNAcentral.